Molecule: small nuclear RNA, 104 nt
Organism: Manis pentadactyla (Chinese pangolin)
Lineage: Eukaryota; Metazoa; Chordata; Mammalia; Pholidota; Manidae
Source: RefSeq, a predicted model, not a curated record
GUGCUUGCUUCCACAGCACACAUACUAAAAUUGGAACCAUACAGAGGUCAUCAUGGCCCCUGCCUAAGGAUGAAAUGCAAAUUAGUGAGGCAGUCCAUAUUCUU